Molecule: ribosomal RNA, 330 nt
Filed under: uncultured eukaryote
Lineage: Eukaryota
Description: partial 18S ribosomal RNA
Rfam family: Eukaryotic small subunit ribosomal RNA
Source: RNAcentral
CCCUUAGAUGUUCUGGGCCGCACGCGCGCUACACUGAUGCAUUCAACGAGUCUAAAACCUGGUCUGAUAGGGCUGGGUAAUCUUUUGAAUGUGCAUCGUGAUUGGGAUAGAUGAUUGCAAUUCUUCAUCUUCAACGAGGAAUGCCUAGUAAACGCAAGUCAUCAGCUUGCAUUGAUUACGUCCCUGCCCUUUGUACACACCGCCCGUCGCUCCUACCGAUUGAAUGAUCCGAUGAAUAUCAUGGACUGAGAGUGUUAGAGUUUUCGGACUUCUACACUUCUCGGGAAGUGAAGUGAAUCUUAUCAUUUAGAGGAAGGAGAAGUCGUAACA